RNAcentral lists this small nuclear RNA (107 nucleotides) under Erinaceus europaeus (western European hedgehog). Lineage: Eukaryota; Metazoa; Chordata; Mammalia; Eulipotyphla; Erinaceidae. The record is from RNAcentral.
GUGCUCGCUUUGGCAGCACAUACACAAAAAUUGGAGUGAUACAGAGAAGAAUAGCAUGGCCCUUGAGCAAGGAUGACAUGCAAAUUCGUGAAGUGUUCCAUAAUAUU